CCUACGGGUGGCAGCAGUGAGGAAUAUUGGUCAAUGGCCGGAAGGCUGAACCAGCCAAGUCGCGUGAAGGAAGAAGGAUCUAUGGUUUGUAAACUUCUUUUAUAGGGGGAUAAAGGUAUCCACGUGUGGAUAUUUGCAUGUACCCUAUGAAUAAGCAUCGGCUAACUCCGUGCCAGCAGCCGCGGUAAUACGGAGGGUGCGAGCGUUAUCCGGCUUUAUUGGGUUUAAAGGGUGCGUCGGUUGUUGUUUAAGUCAGCGGUGAAAGUUUGUGGCUACACCAUAAUAUUGCCGUUGACACUGGAAGACUUGAGUUUGUUUGAGGUCGGCGGAAUGCGUGGUGUAGCGG
This 346-nucleotide ribosomal RNA is filed under the name uncultured bacterium. Its description in RNAcentral is "partial 16S ribosomal RNA". It matches the Rfam family "Bacterial small subunit ribosomal RNA", at positions 338 to 681 of the family's 1533-position model. The record is from RNAcentral.